CUACGGGCCGCAGCAGUCGAGAAUAUUGGGCAAUGGGCGAAAGCCUGACCCAGCGACGCCGCGUGUUCGAAGAAGCCCUUCGGGGUGUAAAGAACUUUUCUAUGGGAACAAUCUUCGGAUGAGCGUACCAUAGGAAUAAGGAGCCUCUAAUCACGUGCCAGCAGAGGCGGUAAUACGUGAGCUCCAAGCGUUAUCCGGAUUUACUGGGCGUAAAGGGUCUGUAGGCGCUUUAUUAGGUUUCUUGUUAAAUUCCAGGGCUUAACUUUGGAAAUGCGGGAAAAACCAAUAAAGUAGAGGGCGUUAGAAGUUGAUGGAACGCUCGGUGUAGGGGUGAAAUCCGUUGAUAUCGAGCGGAACACCAAAAGCGAAGGCAUUCAACUAGAGCGACCCUGACGCUGAGAGACGAAAGCGUGGGGAUAAAAAAGGAUUAGAUACCCCAGUAGUC
Molecule: ribosomal RNA, 445 nt
Filed under: uncultured bacterium
Lineage: Bacteria
Description: partial 16S ribosomal RNA
Rfam family: Bacterial small subunit ribosomal RNA
Source: RNAcentral